UUUCUUGAAUAUUUUUUAUACACCUUUUUCCUAUUUAACCAGAUGACAAAGAAGGAUGGUGUAAAACCAAGUCGUAUUGAAGUAUUCACAAGAACAUAUAUGAGAAAGAAUGAACAACCAAUAAAUGAGAUAGCUGGUGAAGUAAUGCAUUUUGAAGGAGAAUUACUGGCAAUAAACCUUGACUAAUGGAGAGGUGGUUUCAAAAAGCUUUGUUGCAGGAUUUAGUCUAGAAGUGAAGAGAAUUCAUUCGAAAGUGAUAAUAACGUAGUUACAUGUUGAAAUUACUGUCUUUUAUGAUUUAGUUGGAUUUGAAUUUUACUUAGAGAAUAAAUCAUUUGAUUUGGCAUCAUCUAUUUGUACAAAAUACUUUUUAGAUUGCUAAUUUAUUUUUUAAGUAUUAAAA
Nicotiana attenuata is the source of this 403-nucleotide long non-coding RNA. RefSeq lists it as uncharacterized. NCBI's taxonomy places the organism in Eukaryota, Viridiplantae, Streptophyta, Magnoliopsida, Solanales, Solanaceae. The record is from RefSeq and is a predicted model, not a curated record. The transcript is spliced from 2 exons.